UAGACACCAAAGCAGACCAUGUUAAUUACCCCUAAACAAAGGCCCGAACAAUAUUGAACCCUGCUCUAAUGUCUUCGGUUGGGGCGACCACGGAGAAACAAAAAACCCCCGCGUGGAAUAGGGAUACUAUCCCCACAGUCACGAGCUUCCGCUCUAUUAAACAGAACCUCUGACCAACCAGAUCCGGCAAUGCCGACCAACGGACCAAGUUACCCUAGGGAUAACAGCGCAAUCCCCUUUUAGAGCCCAUAUCGACAAGGGGGUUUACGACCUCGAUGUUGGAUCAGGACAUCCUAAUGGUGCAGCCGCUAUUAAG
This 316-nucleotide ribosomal RNA is filed under the name Acanthurus triostegus (convict surgeonfish). RNAcentral describes it as "partial large subunit ribosomal RNA". It matches the Rfam family "Bacterial large subunit ribosomal RNA", at positions 2183 to 2569 of the family's 2925-position model. Lineage: Eukaryota; Metazoa; Chordata; Actinopteri; Acanthuriformes; Acanthuridae. The record is from RNAcentral.